GACGAACGCUGGCGGCGUGCUUAACACAUGCAAGUCGAACGGAAAGGCCCUGCUUUUGUGGGGUGCUCGAGUGGCGAACGGGUGAGUAACACGUGAGUAACCUGCCCUUGACUUUGGGAUAACUUCAGGAAACUGGGGCUAAUACCGGAUAGGAGCUCCUGCUGCAUGGUGGGGGUUGGAAAGUUUCGGCGGUUGGGGAUGGACUCGCGGCUUAUCAGCUUGUUGGUGGGGUAGUGGCUUACCAAGGCUUUGACGGGUAGCCGGCCUGAGAGGGUGACCGGCCACAUUGGGACUGAGAUACGGCCCAGACUCCUACGGGAGGUAGCGGUGGGGAAUAUUGCACAAUGGGCGGAAGCCUGAUGCAGCAACGCCGCGUGCGGGAUGACGGCCUUCGGGUUGUAAACCGCUUUCGCCUGUGACGAAGCGUGAGUGACGGUAAUGGGUAAAGAAGCACCGGCUAACUACGUG
Molecule: ribosomal RNA, 468 nt
Filed under: uncultured bacterium
Lineage: Bacteria
Description: partial 16S ribosomal RNA
Rfam family: Bacterial small subunit ribosomal RNA
Source: RNAcentral